RNAcentral lists this ribosomal RNA (253 nucleotides) under uncultured bacterium. RNAcentral's name for it is "partial 16S ribosomal RNA". It matches the Rfam family "Bacterial small subunit ribosomal RNA", at positions 524 to 776 of the family's 1533-position model. The record is from RNAcentral.
UACGUAGGUGGCAAGCGUUGUCCGGAUUUACUGGGCGUAAAGAGCGCGCAGGCGGUCGUUCAAGUCGCGUGUGAAAGCCCCCGGCUCAACUGGGGAGGGUCACGCGAUACUGAUCGACUCGAAGGCAGGAGAGGGUAGUGGAAUUCCCGGUGUAGUGGUGAAAUGCGUAGAUAUCGGGAGGAACACCAGUGGCGAAGGCGACUACCUGGCCUGUUCUUGACGCUCAUGCACGAAAGCGUGGGGAGCGAUCCGG